AGGACGAACGCUUGCGACGUGCCUAAGAAAUGCAAGUCGAACGGGGUCAUCCUUCGGGGUGGCCUAGUGGCGAACGGUCGCGUAACACGUGGGCAACCUGCCCUGAAGCGGGGGACAACACACCGAAAGGUGUGCUAAUACCGCAUGUGAAUCGUGGUGGCAUCACCGAGGAUUCAAAGCCGCAAGGCACUUCAGGAUGGGCCCGCGGCCUAUCAGCUAGUUGGUGAGGUAACGGCCCACCAAGGCUUCGACGGGUAGCUGGUCUGAGAGGACGAUCAGCCGGAUUGGGACUGAGAUACGGCCCAGACUCCUACGGGGGGCAGCAAUUAGGAAUCUUGCGCAAUGGGCGAAAGCCUGACGCAGCGACGUCGCGUGAAGGAUGAAAUCUUUCGGGAUGUAAACUUCUUUUUACGGGGAAGAAACAAAUGACGGUACCCGAAGAAUAAGCCCGGCUAACUACGUGCCAGCAGCCGC
RNAcentral lists this ribosomal RNA (474 nucleotides) under uncultured bacterium. Its description in RNAcentral is "SSU rRNA". It matches the Rfam family "Bacterial small subunit ribosomal RNA", at positions 26 to 518 of the family's 1533-position model. The record is from RNAcentral.